GCUGGCGGCGUGCCUAACACAUGCAAGUCGAACGAGAAAGUGGAGCAAUCCAUGAGUAAAGUGGCGACCGGGUGAGUAACACGUGACUAACCUACCUUCGAGUGGGGGAUAACCUAGGGAAACCUGGGCUAAUACCGCAUAACAUCUUUGGAUCGGAAGAACUGAAGAUCAAAGGAGCAAUUCGCUUGAAGAGGGGGUCGCGGCUGAUUAGCUAGUUGGCGGGGUAAUGGCCCACCAAGGCUUUGAUCGGUAGCCGGCCUGAGAGGGCGCACGGCCACACUGGAACUGAAACACGGUCCAGACUCCUACGGGAGGCAGCAGUGGGGAAUUUUGCGCAAUGGGGGAAACCCUGACGCAGCAACGCCGCGUGGAGGAUGAAGUCCCUUGGGACGUAAACUCCUUUCGACCGGGACGAUUAUGACGGUACCGGUGGAAGAAGCCCC
RNAcentral lists this ribosomal RNA (443 nucleotides) under uncultured soil bacterium. Its description in RNAcentral is "bacterial SSU rRNA". It matches the Rfam family "Bacterial small subunit ribosomal RNA", at positions 35 to 494 of the family's 1533-position model. The record is from RNAcentral.